AGAAUAAAUAUGUCCUUCGUAAAUAUCAUUGCAAUUUACACGUCGUGGGAAUCAGAGUUACUUCCCUACAGCCUUGCCCUUGGGGGAUAGUGUUCAUCGCCCGAUGCUGCCCAUGCCACCAUCCUAGGAAGAGCGGAGGACUCUUUGGGAAGAUAGCUUUUUUUUGGGGGGGGGGUGAGGAAGGUGGACUUGUUCAUUCAUUUGAACAUGUCGGGAGCUGCUGCGCGGCCCAGCCCCACCCCAGGAGCAGCCUUUGUUGGAGGCUCGGGCAGGAAGCUCUCCGGCAGGCAGGUGUGCCAGCGCCAGCCUCACCCUCUCAGGUGCCGUCAUACUGAUUCAUCCCGAGCCACUUCCCGGGGUGGGGCUGCUUGUCUCUGGCCCACCGCAGCCUGUCCCCACUUCCCAAUGACCUGGCCUCUGAGAAGCCGCGGGGCUCUCCCUGACUCAGCCCAGCGUCGGGAGAAGCGCGUGUGCCCCCGUUCUCAGGGAGGGAAGCUGCGCACCCACCUGCGGUCUCAGCCACCUGCACCGUCUCAGCCGGCACUGAUGCCCGGUUUCCUCCUACACAUUCUUAGCACGGCCUCAGCUGUGGGACCUGAGCAAAAUCAGAAGAGCUGCUAACGCUAGACCACCAUCCCGUCAUGGCAGGGACCAGCUAAAGCCACGACUCUUGAAAUACAUGCAUUUCCAGCACAUCCGCCACCAACUGGGUCCUGCAGGAGUCCGACUUCCAAGAGCCUCUGCACAGCCAUAAAGUGUGUUGGCUCUGGCAUGAGACCACGGUUGAACUCUGGCCCUGCCUCCCUGGACAAGUCCUAUUUGUCAUCCCUAAAAGUCUUAUAGGACUAGUCCCUUCCUCACACAGUUGUUGGGGGGAAUGGGAUCAUAUAUGCAAGGCACUUAACAUCUGGGACUUAUAAGUCUCCAGUGCUUUCCAGCUAUUGCUGCUGUUACUGCUUCUGGUACUAGCUCAUGAUUUUAGGGUCAAAACUGACCUCUUGGGAUGCCUGGGUGGCUCAGUGGUUGAGCAUCUGCCUUUGGCUCAGGGCGUAAUCCCAGGGUUUAGGAUCAAAUCCCACAUCAGGGUCCUUGCGAGGAGCCAGCUUCUCCCUCUGCCUGUGUCUCUGCCUCUCUCUCCUGUCUCUCAUGAAUAAAUAAAAUCUUAAAAAACA
This 1172-nucleotide long non-coding RNA is filed under the name Vulpes vulpes (red fox). RNAcentral describes it as "lncRNA (ENSVVUG00000014825.1)". Lineage: Eukaryota; Metazoa; Chordata; Mammalia; Carnivora; Canidae. The record is from RNAcentral.